CCUGGUGGCUCAGAUGGUAAAGCGUCUGCCUACAAUGUAGGAGACCCGGGUUCGAUCCCGGGGUCAGGA
This 69-nucleotide transfer RNA is filed under the name Ovis aries (sheep). It matches the Rfam family "tRNA". From Rfam's summary of the family: Transfer RNA (tRNA) molecules are approximately 80 nucleotides in length. Their secondary structure includes four short double-helical elements and three loops (D, anti-codon, and T loops). Lineage: Eukaryota; Metazoa; Chordata; Mammalia; Artiodactyla; Bovidae. The record is from Rfam by way of RNAcentral.